Molecule: ribosomal RNA, 2905 nt
Filed under: Enterobacter hormaechei
Lineage: Bacteria; Pseudomonadati; Pseudomonadota; Gammaproteobacteria; Enterobacterales; Enterobacteriaceae
Also listed under: 1 other name
Description: 23S ribosomal RNA
Rfam family: Bacterial large subunit ribosomal RNA
Source: RNAcentral
GGUUAAGCGACUAAGCGUACACGGUGGAUGCCCUGGCAGUCAGAGGCGAUGAAGGACGUGCUAAUCUGCGAAAAGCGCCGGCGAGGUGAUAUGAACCCUUGACCCGGCGAUGUCCGAAUGGGGAAACCCAGUGUGUUCCGACACACUAUCGUUAACUGAAUACAUAGGUUAACGAGGCGAACCGGGGGAACUGAAACAUCUAAGUACCCCGAGGAAAAGAAAUCAACCGAGAUUCCCCCAGUAGCGGCGAGCGAACGGGGAGCAGCCCGGAGUCUGAAUCAGCUUGUGUGUUAGUGGAACGGUCUGGAAAGUCCGACGGUACAGGGUGAUAGUCCCGUACACGAAAAUGCACAUGCUGUGAACUCGAAGAGUAGGGCGGGACACGUGGUAUCCUGUCUGAAUAUGGGGGGACCAUCCUCCAAGGCUAAAUACUCCUGACUGACCGAUAGUGAACCAGUACCGUGAGGGAAAGGCGAAAAGAACCCCGGCGAGGGGAGUGAAAAAGAACCUGAAACCGUGUACGUACAAGCAGUGGGAGCACCUUCGGGUGUGACUGCGUACCUUUUGUAUAAUGGGUCAGCGACUUAUAUUCUGUAGCAAGGUUAACCGUAUAGGGGAGCCGAAGGGAAACCGAGUCUUAACUGGGCGUUAAGUUGCAGGGUAUAGACCCGAAACCCGGUGAUCUAGCCAUGGGCAGGUUGAAGGUUGGGUAACACUAACUGGAGGACCGAACCGACUAAUGUUGAAAAAUUAGCGGAUGACCUGUGGCUGGGGGUGAAAGGCCAAUCAAACCGGGAGAUAGCUGGUUCUCCCCGAAAGCUAUUUAGGUAGCGCCUCGUGAACUCAUCUUCGGGGGUAGAGCACUGUUUCGGCUAGGGGGCCAUCCCGGCUUACCAACCCGAUGCAAACUACGAAUACCGAAGAAUGUUAUCACGGGAGACACACGGCGGGUGCUAACGUCCGUCGUGAAGAGGGAAACAACCCAGACCGCCAGCUAAGGUCCCAAAGUCAUGGUUAAGUGGGAAACGAUGUGGGAAGGCACAGACAGCCAGGAUGUUGGCUUAGAAGCAGCCAUCAUUUAAAGAAAGCGUAAUAGCUCACUGGUCGAGUCGGCCUGCGCGGAAGAUGUAACGGGGCUAAACCAUGCACCGAAGCUGCGGCAGCGACGCUUAUGCGUUGUUGGGUAGGGGAGCGUUCUGUAAGCCGUUGAAGGUGUGCUGUGAGGCAUGCUGGAGGUAUCAGAAGUGCGAAUGCUGACAUAAGUAACGAUAAAGCGGGUGAAAAGCCCGCUCGCCGGAAGACCAAGGGUUCCUGUCCAACGUUAAUCGGGGCAGGGUGAGUCGACCCCUAAGGCGAGGCCGAAAGGCGUAGUCGAUGGGAAACAGGUUAAUAUUCCUGUACUUGGUGUUACUGCGAAGGGGGGACGGAGAAGGCUAUGUCAGCCGGGCGACGGUUGUCCCGGUUUAAGCAUGUAGGCGGAGGUUCCAGGUAAAUCCGGUACCUUGUUAACGCUGAGGUGUGAUGACGAGGCACUACGGUGCUGAAGUGAUAAAUGCCCUGCUUCCAGGAAAAGCCUCUAAGCAUCAGGUAACACGAAAUCGUACCCCAAACCGACACAGGUGGUCAGGUAGAGAAUACCAAGGCGCUUGAGAGAACUCGGGUGAAGGAACUAGGCAAAAUGGUGCCGUAACUUCGGGAGAAGGCACGCUGAUAUGUAGGUGAAGUCCCUGCGGACGGAGCUGAAAUCAGUCGAAGAUACCAGCUGGCUGCAACUGUUUAUUAAAAACACAGCACUGUGCAAACACGAAAGUGGACGUAUACGGUGUGACGCCUGCCCGGUGCCGGAAGGUUAAUUGAUGGGGUUAGCGGCAACGCGAAGCUCUUGAUCGAAGCCCCGGUAAACGGCGGCCGUAACUAUAACGGUCCUAAGGUAGCGAAAUUCCUUGUCGGGUAAGUUCCGACCUGCACGAAUGGCGUAAUGAUGGCCAGGCUGUCUCCACCCGAGACUCAGUGAAAUUGAACUCGCUGUGAAGAUGCAGUGUACCCGCGGCAAGACGGAAAGACCCCGUGAACCUUUACUAUAGCUUGACACUGAACACUGGUCCUUGAUGUGUAGGAUAGGUGGGAGGCUUUGAAGCGUGGACGCCAGUCUGCGUGGAGCCGUCCUUGAAAUACCACCCUUUAAUGGCUGGUGUUCUAACGUAGACCCGUGAUCCGGGUUGCGGACAGUGUCUGGUGGGUAGUUUGACUGGGGCGGUCUCCUCCCAAAGAGUAACGGAGGAGCACGAAGGUUGGCUAAUCCUGGUCGGACAUCAGGAGGUUAGUGCAAUGGCAUAAGCCAGCUUGACUGCGAGCGUGACGGCGCGAGCAGGUGCGAAAGCAGGUCAUAGUGAUCCGGUGGUUCUGAAUGGAAGGGCCAUCGCUCAACGGAUAAAAGGUACUCCGGGGAUAACAGGCUGAUACCGCCCAAGAGUUCAUAUCGACGGCGGUGUUUGGCACCUCGAUGUCGGCUCAUCACAUCCUGGGGCUGAAGUAGGUCCCAAGGGUAUGGCUGUUCGCCAUUUAAAGUGGUACGCGAGCUGGGUUUAGAACGUCGUGAGACAGUUCGGUCCCUAUCUGCCGUGGGCGCUGGAGAAUUGAGGGGGGCUGCUCCUAGUACGAGAGGACCGGAGUGGACGCAUCACUGGUGUUCGGGUUGUCAUGCCAAUGGCACUGCCCGGUAGCUAAAUGCGGAAGAGAUAAGUGCUGAAAGCAUCUAAGCACGAAACUUGCCCCGAGAUGAGUUCUCCCUGAGACCUUGAGUCUCCUGAAGGAACGUUGAAGACGACGACGUUGAUAGGUCGGGUGUGUAAGCGCAGCGAUGCGUUGAGCUAACCGAUACUAAUGAACCGUGAGGCUUAACCUU